CCAAUAGCGUAUAUUAAAGUUGUUGCAGUUAAAAAGCUCGUAGUUGAAUUUCGGGACCAAUAUGUUGGUCGUGCCUCGGUACGUACUGGUGUCAUUGGUUUCUCCCUUCUGAGGAUCUUUGAUGUCACUAAUUUGGUGUCUUGGGGAAUCAGGACUGUUACCUUGAAAAAAUUAGAGUGUUUAAAGCAGGCAUACGCUUGAAUACAUUAGCAUGGAAUAAUGAAAUAGGACGUUCGAUUCUAUUUUGUUGGUUUCUAGGAUCGACGUAAUGAUUAAUAGUGAUAGUUGGGGGCAUUAGUAUUCAAUUGUCAGAGGUGAAAUUCUUGGAUUUAUUGAAGACUAACUACUGCGAAAGCAUUUGCCAAGGAUGUUUUCAUUAAUCAAGAACGAAAGUUAGGGGAUCGAAGACGAUCAGAUACCGUCGUAGUCUUAACCAUAAACUAUACCGACUAGGGAUCGGAUGAUGUUAAUUUUUUAAUGACUCAUUCGGCGCCUUACG
Molecule: ribosomal RNA, 499 nt
Filed under: uncultured Glomeromycotina
Lineage: Eukaryota; Fungi; Glomeromycota
Description: partial small subunit ribosomal RNA
Rfam family: Eukaryotic small subunit ribosomal RNA
Source: RNAcentral